GCGGAGCGGUCCCUGCAACCCGGCCGGCGGGAACUGCCUUCUAGUUUUUAGUCUCAGACCAGACCACCGGGCGUGCCCCCAUGCCGAGCCCGCAGCUUCUGGUGCUCUUCGGCAGCCAGACAGGCACGGCUCAGGAUGUGUCGGAGAGACUGGGUCGCGAGGCCCGGCGCCGGCGGCUUGGCUGCCGGGUGCAGGCCCUGGACUCCUACCCGGUGGCCAAGGAGACCCCCCUGACAACAUGAAGAACUUCUGGGGGUUUAUAUUCCGGAAGAACCUGCCCUCCACUGCCCUCUGUCAGAUGGACUUUGCCGUCCUGGGCCUCGGGGACUCCUCAUACGCCAAGUGAGUAGGGGAUGGGACAGUGGGCGGCCGGAACGGUUCUGGGGGUCGAGCGACAGGUGUGCCGGCAGAGGACCGAGGCCAGCUUCCAGGGUCGGCCCCUGCGCGCCUCAGGGCCCUCGCAGUGGUACUGGCUUCUCCACGACGCUCCCUGGUGGGCACCCCAGGCUUCACGCUGCGGGGAGGGCACAGAGGGGAGCAGGCAGGGUGGCAAAGGGCUGGGCU
This 564-nucleotide small RNA is filed under the name Pan troglodytes (chimpanzee). RNAcentral describes it as "retained intron". The record is from RNAcentral. Lineage: Eukaryota; Metazoa; Chordata; Mammalia; Primates; Hominidae.